UUUUAUAUUUCAUCAAAGAAGGAAGAUGACAAUUUCCAGAGUAGUAAGAAGGAAAGCCCGCGUAUCUUAUUUUCUCAUCUAUAUUUCCCUCCUUAUUUAUGUUGAUGCAACACCAAAUUCAUCAAAGAAGGAAAGAUGUUUCCACUUCUGUCAGGGUUUCAAGUGUUUCCACUUCUGUUGAAAAAUCUAUUCACCAAGGGUUUCCAUUUCAAUUGGGAUAUCACCGAUUGCAAAACAUAUAUAUAUAAGAAAGACUCGAUUUUUCUGCUCCUACUCUCAAGCUUUCUUCUCAAUCAACUGUGAUUUCUAUUGAGGAACUAGUCGUUAAAAGGUUUGAACUUACCUAUUCUCUGCUUUUACUUUUUAAUUACUAUGUUCUACCUGUAUCUAUCAUUUGUUAUGGGUUUGAAGCCAUGAGAAAAUUAGGAAUUUUUAUUGAAUACUGUAUUUGAAUUGGUUUGAACCCGUGGAGAAAUCAGUUUUUUUUUUUAUUGAAUGCUAUGAUGGGUAUGAAGCAAUGGGAAAAUUAGGGGUUUUUAUGUAUUUGAUGAAUUUGGCAAUUUUCAGAAACCUAGAUUGUGUGAAUUUGUUUUAAUUAACCUUGAAUUAACAAAUUCUGAUGGGAAAAAAAGCCAAUAGAUAAUGAAGGUUUUAUACCUACUUGGUAGGAAUUUAUGUUAGAAAAGAGUAUCGAUAGAAAAGUUAUCAUUUAAGUUAUAAAUUAAAAUUAUGGGAUUCCAGUUGUAGUGUUAAUUUAUAUGUUGAUCAAGAGUGUCGUAUGGUCAUAUGUUCCGAAAAGGUUAGGGGUUUAGGCAGACCGUGAGAACUAGAGGAUGACCUCUGUUUGUGGGCUGGACUGCAGUCCAGAUAUAGAUGUGUUAUGAUGUUUUGUACAUGAUUAUUCAUAUACAAGUCACUGAGCAUAGUCUGUGUGUACACAUUUUGAACUAUCUCUGUGUAUAUGCUGUAGUACAUCACUGAAAAAAUUCGUUUACAAAAACUGCACUAAAUUACAGAUUAUAUGUGAUAUCAUUUUUUUCUUGGAGGAAUCAUAGGCGAAAUAUGCAUUCUGACUACUGUUUAUUGAUAGUUUUUAGUUGGUAGACCUAGCCUGACCUAUAUUCAUGGAUAUGAUUCUUUUAUCAGUUGGUAGACCUGACCAACAUGGAUAUGAUUCUCUUAUCAGUUUGAUUACCAUCUUUAUUUUUUGGGGGGGAAUAAGUCGAGGCGUUAGGCAGACGCAGACCUGACCUAUAUUCAUAAAACUUCUUACGUUGCUUUUCCCUUUUGAAUCAUCCUCUGCUAUUACAUUUAGCUUACAUAGCUUUUCCCUUUUUUUUAGAGCAGUGUAAUGAACAAAGUUGAUUUGCUAGCUUUCUCUCGAAGCUUUUCGAGGUUGUUCAUCUAUAUUGGUAGUUAUUAAGAUAGGUUUCUUUUUCUCUACAUCAUGGAUAUCUUCCAUGCACUCGUCAUUGUUCUCAUCUUUCUUGUCGAGGUCUAGAUCACAGAAAUGGCUAUUAGGCCUACUUAAUGAAUUUCAAUAUAUACAGAACUAUCAGGAAAAACUUUGAAAGAAUUUUGAUUAUUGUAAUCAAUAAAGUUAUCUUGUGCAGAAAUAAUUGUGAUUGCACAUGGACUCGGUCUAUGAUCCUUGAUUUCAAAUGACACACCUCGGCAACUUGAAAAUCUUUCAUUCUUCUCUAGUUUAUUCAUCUUUGGUUUUCUUAACUAGUCAUCUGUAUGGCAAGCUUAUAUAAUGAGCUUCUCAAAGGCUCCAUCUAAAGAAUGAGAACGGGCUCUGAAUAUUCUUCAUACCUUUUUUCGUGCAAACGUCCCCACUGUCUAUACUGCCACUUAUUUUCAGUUUGAUUUUUCUACACACAUACACACACACACAUAUAUAUAUAUAUAUAUUUUGCUAAGUAUGUUAAUUUUCAUUGAAAACUGUCAGAUUACAAAAAAGGGCAUUUUGCCCUACAUGAUUUAACAUAAUCUGUAAUACAUCACAUUAUCUUGUUCUAUUCUUUUAAUCCAAGCAGAUAAUCCCUCAGUAGUAAUGCUCUCAUCCUAACUCAGGCCUGCACCUUUCUUAACACCCUGAUCAGCACCAAAAUUACACUCCCUCCACACUGCGUUUAGCUGCAGACUCGCUGUUUUAAACUUGCACUGUCUCUAUCUUGCCUUUAUGAUCCCAAGGCACAUCAUCAUUUUUAAUGGCCUGAAUGUGUAACUCUGAGUUUGAAUCCAUAAUAAUACCAGUCUAUAUAUCCUUUGGCUACAACAAUUUCUAGAGCCUCCAAAAUGCCAUAGCACUCUGCUAGUACCUUAUAUGGUUUAUCUGUAAGCCUAGGCUAUUUCUUUCUAGAUCUUAUAUUAAUCUGCACGCUCAUAGGAUUAACUCUUGUACAAAUUUUACUCUUAUCUUGUUUGCUUAACUGCACUAUAAACUACAAUGUCAAUUGGUAGUAAUGUACAGGUGGUAAACCAUAACACCUGAUUAACAGAAAUAUACAGGGUUUUAGCACGAUACUGAACUACUGAAAUUUUGUAUUAUACUAUGGUUUAUGUAAACUUUUUUUGUUUGUUCAUUCUAAUAUUACUUAUGUAAAUCUUUUUUGACUACUAGACUAGAGCUAAAGUUUACUUGGUGCUUCUUUUGCAGAUAAGCUAGCUAGAGCGAGUGAACUGGUGACUGCUUUCAAGUUUUCUACUUCAGUAUAUAAUCUGUGGUAAGUCAUUUACAAAAUUAAUAGUACGUCAGCUUAUAUUUGUUAAGAAAUAUUUUUAACCAAAAUCAAGUAUACAAUAAAGCUUAGGUAGUUAUACUUUUACUUCUAUGUCUACCAUUUACUUAUGGGUUUAGAUGUAUGUAUGACAUUCUUAUACGAUGUGUCAUUAUAAACUUGCAUGCAUAUAGUGGUCCUUGUUCCUUCUCUUGCAUAUGCGGUCUUUUGAAUACCUAUAGUAUGUAAUAUUUGCAUGUCAUUAGACUUUUGCUCAACCCAUUUAAAUGAAAUGUAUUCAUGUUUUGUUGGUAGUAUUGCCUUGCACACUGAGACCCCAAGAUGUGUCUUUAUGCUAUAGUCUAGUUGGUGUGUAGUUUACUAGUCUGCUCAUCUCCAUAUACACGUGUUGUAUGUGUAUAGUUGCUUGGUAGCUUUACUGCUUUAUACACAUGUUUUUGUUUUUAUUUGUCUACAAUACUUCAAUUCUUUUCUAACUUAAAAAGUUAACUAAACCUUUUUUAUAUUUCUUUCUUGCAGAGGAAACAACUUUUAAACUCCUGGGUAUUUGCUUAUGAAGUUGCGCUCAUUCUUAUGAAGUUCAAGUAGUUCUGAAAUUUUGUAGGAAUAUUUUUUGUUUUGAUUUAUUAUGAUGUAUGUGGAGACUUAUUUUAAAUGUAUGAUUUGGUUUACUUUGAGUAUGAGGUGGAUAUCAUUAUUAUAUUUAUUACAGUCAUGAGUAAAUAAUUUGUUAAGGAUUUAUUUAUUUGGAAUAA
This 3499-nucleotide long non-coding RNA is filed under the name Aquilegia coerulea. RNAcentral's name for it is "long non-coding RNA (ACOE_LNC002236)". The record is from RNAcentral. Lineage: Eukaryota; Viridiplantae; Streptophyta; Magnoliopsida; Ranunculales; Ranunculaceae.